GCGCACCAGGCGAGAAACCUUCGCAAUGCGGGAAACCGCGACGAGGGGACUCCCAGUGCCUACGCUCAGCGUAGGCUGUUCCCGAGCCUAGAAAGCUCGGGGAGUAAGGGCUGGGUAAGACGGGUGCCAGCCGCCGCGGUAAUACCCGCAGCCCGAGUGGUGGCCACUAUUAUUGGGCCUAAAGCGUCCGUAGCCGGCCCGGUAAAUGCCUGGGUAAAUCGUGAGGCCUAACCUCACGAAUUCCGGGUAGACUGCCGGGCUAGGGACCGGAGGAGGGAGAGGGUACUCCAGGGGUAGGGGUGAAAUCCUGUAAUCCCUGGAGGACCACCGGUGGCGAAGGCGCUCUCCUAGGACGGGUCCGACGGUGAGGGACGAAAGCCAGGGGAGCGAACCGGAUUAGAUACCCGCGUAGU
This 413-nucleotide ribosomal RNA is filed under the name uncultured microorganism. RNAcentral's name for it is "bacterial SSU rRNA". It matches the Rfam family "Archaeal small subunit ribosomal RNA", at positions 330 to 745 of the family's 1478-position model. The record is from RNAcentral.